This 499-nucleotide ribosomal RNA is filed under the name uncultured bacterium. RNAcentral describes it as "partial 16S ribosomal RNA". It matches the Rfam family "Bacterial small subunit ribosomal RNA", at positions 28 to 507 of the family's 1533-position model. The record is from RNAcentral.
GACGAACGCUGGCGGCGUGCCUAAUACAUGCAAGUCGAGCGAAGUUUUUCUGGUGCUUGCACUAGAAAAACUUAGCGGCGAACGGGUGAGUAACACGUAAAGAACCUGCCUCAUAGACUGGGACAACUAUUGGAAACGAUAGCUAAUACCGGAUAACAGUAUUUCUCGCAUGGGAGAUAUUUAAAAGUUGGUUAUGCUAACACUAUGAGAUGGCUUUGCGGUGCAUUAGCUAGUUGGUGGGGUAAAGGCCCACCAAGGCGAUGAUGCAUAGCCGACCUGAGAGGGUGAUCGGCCACACUGGAACUGAGACACGGCCCAGACUCCUACGGGAGGCAGCAGUAGGGAAUCUUCCGCAAUGGGCGAAAGCCUGACGGAGCAACGCCGCGUGAGUGAAGAAGGAUUUCGGUUCGUAAAGCUCUGUUGUUAGGGAAGAAUGGAUAUGUAGUAACUAUACAUGUAAGAGACGGUACCUAACCAGAAAGCCACGGCUAACUACGUG